GACGAACGCUGGCGGCGUGCUUAACACAUGCAAGUCGAACGGUAAGGCCCUUCGGGGUACACGAGUGGCGAACGGGUGAGUAACACGUGGGUGAUCUGCCCUGCACUUCGGGAUAAGCCUGGGAAACUGGGUCUAAUACCGGAUAGGACUCCGGACUGCAUGGUCUGGGGUGGAAAGCUUUUGCGGUGUGGGAUGGGCCCGCGGCCUAUCAGCUUGUUGGUGGGGUGAUGGCCUACCAAGGCGACGACGGGUAGCCGGCCUGAGAGGGUGACCGGCCACACUGGGACUGCGAUACGGCCCAGACUCAAACGGGAGGCAGCAGUGGGGAAUAUUGCACAAUGGGCGCAAGCCUGAUGCAGCGACGCCGCGUGAGGGAUGACGGCCUUCGGGUUGUAAACCUCUUUCAGCAUCGACGAAGCGAAAGUGACGGUAGGUGCAGAAGAAGGACCGGCCAACUACGUGCCAGCCGCCGCGGUAA
This 478-nucleotide ribosomal RNA is filed under the name uncultured bacterium. RNAcentral's name for it is "partial 16S ribosomal RNA". It matches the Rfam family "Bacterial small subunit ribosomal RNA", at positions 28 to 523 of the family's 1533-position model. The record is from RNAcentral.